This 397-nucleotide ribosomal RNA is filed under the name uncultured bacterium. RNAcentral describes it as "partial 16S ribosomal RNA". It matches the Rfam family "Bacterial small subunit ribosomal RNA", at positions 523 to 918 of the family's 1533-position model. The record is from RNAcentral.
AUACGUAGGGGGCGAGCGUUGUCCGGAAUGAUUGGGCGUAAAGGGCGCGUAGGCGGCCCGGUAAGUCUGGCGUGAAAGUCCUGUUUUUAAGAUGGGAAUUGCUUUGGAUACUGUCGGGCUUGAGUGCCGGAGAGGGAAGUGGAAAUCCCAGUGUAGCGGUGAACUGCGUAGAGAUUGGGAGGACAACCAGUGGCGAAGGCGACUUACUGGACUGUAACUGACGCUGAGGCGCGAAAGUGUGGGGAGCAAACAGGAUUAGAUACCCUGGUAGUCCACACUGUAAACGAUGAAUGCUAGGUGUAAGAGGUAUCGACCCCUUUUGUGCCGGAGGCAACACAAUAAGCAUUCCGCCUGGGGAGUACGGCCGCAAGGUUGAAACUCAAAGGAAUUGGCGGGG